CAGCACCUCAAGUGGUCAGGAUGAUUAUUGGGCCUAAAGCAUCCGUAGCCGGCGCUGUAAGUUUUCGGUUAAAUCUGUACGCUCAACGUACAGGCUGCCGGGAAUACUGCAGCGCUAGGGAGUGGGAGAGGUAGACGGUACCCGGUAGGAAGGGGUAAAAUCCUUUGAUCUAUUGAUGACCACCUGUGGCGAAGGCGCCUAACCAGUACGGAUCCGACGGUGAGGAACGAAAGCUAGGGGAGCGAUCCGGAUUAGAGACCCGAGUAGUCC
This 270-nucleotide ribosomal RNA is filed under the name uncultured archaeon. RNAcentral's name for it is "partial 16S ribosomal RNA". It matches the Rfam family "Archaeal small subunit ribosomal RNA", at positions 477 to 747 of the family's 1478-position model. The record is from RNAcentral.